Molecule: non-coding RNA, 328 nt
Organism: Plectropomus leopardus (leopard coralgrouper)
Lineage: Eukaryota; Metazoa; Chordata; Actinopteri; Perciformes; Serranidae
Source: RefSeq, a predicted model, not a curated record
UCAUCCUUCGCUCACAAUCACCUGGUUUUCUCAAGCAGACAUCUUGCGACUGCUUGUAUUCACACUCAGAGGCCCAGUCCGCCUGGAGGGGUGGCACACUUGCCUCACAGGCGCCAUAGCAACUUUCCCCAAAGAAGGGCCACCCUGUUGCCACGGGUAGCCAGGUGUACAGUACAGCUGACACUUGAGGCCAUGUCAUCUGAGACUGUUUCAAAUCCCAUAACCACAACAGAGGAGCCGAGCCUCCCAGCAGAACAUCUCUGCAAUAUGCAAUUCUGUGAGACAGAAAAGGAGUCAAGUCAAUCCUGCCACGGAAAGACAAGAGCAC